CCCUGCUUUUGUGGGGUGCUCGAGUGGCGAACGGGUGAGUAACACGUGAGUAACCUGCCCUUGACUUUGGGAUAACUUCAGGAAACUGGGGCUAAUACCGGAUAGGAGCUCCUGCUGCAUGGUGGGGGUUGGAAAGUUUCGGCGGUUGGGGAUGGACUCGCGGCUUAUCAGCUUGUUGGUGGGGUAGUGGCUUACCAAGGCUUUGACGGGUAGCCGGCCUGAGAGGGUGACCGGCCACAUUGGGACUGAGAUACGGCCCAGACUCCUACGGGAGGCAGCAGUGGGGAAUAUUGCACAAUGGGCGGAAGCCUGAUGCAGCAACGCCGCGUGCGGGAUGACGGCCUUCGGGUUGUAAACCGCUUUCGCCUGUGACGAAGCGUGAGUGACGGUAAUGGGUAAAGAAGCACCGGCUAACUACGUGCCAGCAGCCGCGGUGAUACGUAGGGUGCGAGCGUUGUCCGGAUUUAUUGGGCGUAAAGGGCUCGUAGGUGGUUGAUCGCGUCGGAAGUGUAAUCUUGGGGCUUAACCCUGAGCGUGCUUUCGAUACGGGUUGACUUGAGGAAGGUAGGGGAGAAUGGAAUUCCUGGUGGAGCGGUGGAAUGCGCAGAUAUCAGGAGGAACACCAGUGGCGAAGGCGGUUCUCUGGGCCUUUCCUGACGCUGAGGAGCGAAAGCGUGGGGAGCGAACAGGCUUAGAUACCCUGGUAGUCCACGCUGUAAACGGUGGGUACUAGGUGUGGGGUCCAUUCCACGGGUUCCGUGCCGUAGCUAACGCUUUAAGUACCCCGCCUGGGGAGUACGGCCGCAAGGCUAAAACUCAAAGGAAUUGACGGGGCCCCGCACAAGCGGCGGAGCAUGCGGAUUAAUUCGAUGCAACGCGUAGAACCUUACCUGGGUUUGACAUGGAUCGGGAGUGCUCAGAGAUGGGUGUGCCUCUUUUGGGGUCGGUUCACAGGUGGUGCAUGGCUGUCGUUAGCUCGUGUCGUGAGAUGUUGGGUUAAGUCCCGCAACGAGCGCAACCCUUGUUCACUGUUGCCAGCACGUUAUGGUGGGGACUCAGUGGAGACCGCCGGGGUCAAC
Molecule: ribosomal RNA, 1079 nt
Filed under: uncultured bacterium
Lineage: Bacteria
Description: bacterial SSU rRNA
Rfam family: Bacterial small subunit ribosomal RNA
Source: RNAcentral